Molecule: ribosomal RNA, 543 nt
Filed under: uncultured Glomeromycotina
Lineage: Eukaryota; Fungi; Glomeromycota
Description: SSU rRNA
Rfam family: Eukaryotic small subunit ribosomal RNA
Source: RNAcentral
AGGGCAAGUCUGGUGCCAGCAGCCGCGGUAAUUCCAGCUCCAAUAGCGUAUAUUAAAGUUGUUGCAGUUAAAAAGCUCGUAGUUGAAUUUCGGGGUCAGCAGGUCGGUCGUGCCAAUGGUAUGCACUGGCCUUGCUGAUUCCUCCCUCUUGAUGAGCCGUAAUGCCAUUAAUUUGGUGUUGCGGGGAAUCAGGACUGUUACUUUGAAAAAAUUAGAGUGUUUAAAGUAGGCAAGCGCUUGAAUACAUUAGCAUGGAAUAAUGAAAUAGGACGUUCGAUCCUAUUUUGUUGGUUUCUAGGAUUGACGUAAUGAUUAAUAGGGAUAGUUGGGGGCAUUAGUAUUCAAUUGUCAGAGGUGAAAUUCUUGGAUUUAUUGAAGACUAACUACUGCGAAAGCAUUUGCCAAGGAUGUUUUCAUUAAUCAAGAACGAAAGUUAGGGGAUCGAAGACGAUCAGAUACCGUCGUAGUCUUAACCAUAAACUAUGCCGACUAGGGAUCGGAUGAUGUUAAUUUUUUAAUGACUCAUUCGGCGCCUUACGGGAA